This is a long non-coding RNA of Catharus ustulatus (Swainson's thrush), 4560 nucleotides long. RefSeq lists it as uncharacterized. The record is from RefSeq and is a predicted model, not a curated record. The transcript has 2 exons. Lineage: Eukaryota; Metazoa; Chordata; Aves; Passeriformes; Turdidae.
GACACGCACGACAGACACUUAGCAGUGAGAAAUGCCAGCAGCUGCCUCUCCUGCUGGGCUUGCACGAACACUCAUUUUUUCUACCAGGUUUGGACCAACUUUUCAGUGCAGCAGUGCUGAAGAGUUUACAGGAAUGUUCCUGCACUUCGGGAAAAGAAGAACUGCACCAACCUGUCCCACAAUACAGGGUGGAAAAGAGGGUGGAACAGUUUAGGAAUGGCAGGGAAAAUACCUUGGAUGAAAAAGUUACCUAGAUAAUGCUUUACGAAGUCCAGAUAUUAAAAUACAAGAAUUUUGUAUUAUUUUUAACAACUGAGUGAAAAUAUGUGAAAGGAAGUCUAGAAUAUGAACCAGAAUCUCUGAAUGUUCUUCUGUAAGAUUUUUUAGCUAGAAGCAGGUAAUAGAAGUGUCAAAUAAAUCAUGAUGAAGAACUCAGUAUGAAGUGCAUAUGUUUUUAAAUGGAGAUAUCUGACUUUGCAGAUACAAUUUAGCAGAUAGAGUAUUUGGAGGUUUAAUCUCACUUCUGAUGCAAACAGAGACAGAUGAGAGCAGCAGCAUGGUUCCAUGGCUUUUCUUCUGUCAGAGGAAAGCCAGGAGUAAAUCAGAGGGUGAAGAAAAUCCCAGCCUUGCACUGUGGGGUGAUUUAUGCACGUGCCAUUCUACCCUGGAGAUUAAAGAGGUGGUGCAGCAACACUAAGCCAUGCUAACUCUAAGAUUACAGUUUAAAGUAUUUUAUAAACAACUUAUCUGCUAGUGGGAGGCAGCAUCACCAGUCCUGCCCAGCCCAGAGAGGCUGAGCCUGUGAGCCCAGCAGGGUCCUGGGGCAGGAGGUGCCCAUGCCAGCAGCCAGGGCUGUGCUGGUCUGGCAGCCCAAGCUCUCCAGGCUCCAGAGCACCUGCCAAGGGGGUCCAUCCACACACAUCCACCCCACCACACCCAGAGGGCUGUGCCCAGCUCAGCUUUGUAAGAGGAAAUGAAUGGCAAAGGGAAUUACAAGUGCAGCUCAGGACUGACAGGAAUCACAGGAGAAAGGUGUGGAGGGCCAAAGCAGAGCAGCACCUGCAGCAGCACAGCCCUUGUGUCCUUUGCACCUUCUGUGUCUCUGGGCUAAAGGAUCCAACUUCACACAGCUCCUUGCUGCAGCAGAAAACAGCUUAACUGGUUUACUGGCUUUUGGAAGUCUUUUAUUUAGUGGGCUGGAAGGUGUUACAGUCAUUUAUCACUCAUACCCACAGACCUGGGACUGGAACUGUUUGGGAUCAGGCUCCCAAUGGCUCUGCUGCUCAACAGCCCCACUGCCCAACCUCAGCUAACUAACUCCAGGGACUGCAGCCAGAUCCUCAGGGCAGUGAAGAAUCACUUGUCUUGAACCAUCCAGAAAAGGAAUUUCUCUGAUUAGCAAAGAGGAGCUGAAGAAUUUCAAGUAUAGCUUAUAAAUGCCUUAGGACUAAAUUCUGACCAAAGCAUGUCUUAAACAUUGAUCUGUUCUGAACAAGCUCCUGCUAAGCAUGCAAAAUCCUGUUCCUGUUCUCUGCACUAUUUAGUGUUUGCCACUGCCCUGUCCAGAGAGUUCAGUGCUGCCAAAAGCUCUCAUGGGAAUUUGCUUCAUGCAUGGGCAGCUGAACUAAAACUUCUUCCAGAAGCAGGUGAAAAAAGGUGAGGAGAUCAAGAGGAUGAUAAGGCAGGAAGCAACCACACCACAGCCCUGGGAUGGAGCACUGCAGCUGUGUCUGCUCUGAGCCAUCUCCUGCAUGGUCAUAGUGGCUCUGGCAAAAGUAAAAAAAGUAACAUAAAAAAAAAGAAGAAAAAAAAAGGCUCUGGACUCAGAUAGUUUGUGGAAAUAGUCAAGGCCCGGAAGCCGUUUAUUUCAGAACUUGAUACUGUGAACAUCAAAAAUUGGGAAUCUUGAUUAGUGUUUACAAUGAUCACAAUGUUACUAGACAGCUGGGCACAACUCUGCUACACAGAUACUUUAAAAAUAAAUAAAUAGAAGGUUAAAGGAGGGUAUUACAUGGUAGGGGACUGUACACGGUCCUGAAGGAACUCCUCCUGCCAGGAGAGCCUCCCCUCCUCUGUCCAACAGCUCCCAAGGCACCACCACACGUGUGUGCCUUCGAAAUUCAUGUUUUAGAGUGCUGCAGCAGCCCUGGGGCAGACAGAGACAUGCAGGGCCCAGGGCAGGCUGCAGACAGAGCCCCUGCUCUCUCAGACCACUCAGCCCAGGGAGGAGCAGGGUGAGAGGGCAGGCAGCUGGGGAUGUGCCCUGGCAGCUGUGACAGUGCCACUGUCCCUGGGACACAGGUGCCACUGUCCCUGGGACACAGGGGCAGAACCUGGCACCCACAACAGGUUACCUGUGUGCCCUGGCCACAGCCUGAGCCUCCUGCCAAACUCAGCACCAGGAGCAAGGAGUAGCUCAGGAACAAAGCCAGGCACAAGGACAAGGGAGAGCAAGGCUAAAACGGGCACAGCUCUCAGACACAUCUGUAUUUUGAUAUUUACAGAGCUAGAAACUUAGCUGCCAAGAGUAAGAAUUCUUGUCUCUUGCCUGCUGUCCGUUUUGGAUACAGGAGGAGGGCUGAAUUAGAGCUGCCAUGUCCUGCACUAAGACCUUGCAGAGUACAAAUGUUUGGCAUCAGCUGUGCCUCUCCCCCUGGCUGGUGGCACACAGUGGGGAGGUGUGUGUGAGCACACCCAACAAACACAGACACAAAUAUACACUUGCUGGCAUGCCAAAAAUGUUCAGGGAACCUCUUCCUGCCUGGACACCCAAGAGCUUUGGUCCCAAACGAGGCUUUACAGGGGAUGACUUCAGGACUGAGCACUGUCCCCUCCCUGGAGAGCACUGCCAUGGCUCCAGAGCCAAGUGCACCUGCAGUGACAGCAACCUGCAAGGACCUGGCAGGCUCUAUGUGACAGCACACAAUUUCAACAGCAUCUCUGAAAACCAAAGCAAAGCCAUAUACCACAGCUCCCUUCAACUUCCACGAGUGCAGUCAGUCUGCAGCAAUUAUCUGCUAUUAAUUAUAUUAAUUUUUAUAAGAGCAUAAAUACUUUGUCCACAUGACAUCAAUACAUACUUCCUAUAGUAUCUAAGCAUGAUUAUUAGCUUCACAUAAUUUCAGCACACUUGAUAAAUAUCCAUAAAGCCAAAAUAACAAGUUUAUAUUCCCACAUGCUCUCACCCUUUGACACACCGAAGCUCACUAGGGCAUGCAAAGCAUGGAUGUGGAGAGGAGAGUUCAGAGGAAGGAAAGAGCUGGAUGUAAAUACAGAGUGUUUAGAAUUGUUUAGAAUGGUAAAGGGCCACAGAGGUCAGCCUGCAUGCACUGAUGGCACUGAGGGCCUCAGGGAGAACAGAAGCAGCAGCAGCAGAGAUGCUGACUGAGUUCUGCCUCUGGGCUCUCCCUCAGCUCAGAAAUGCUAGCCCAGGUGUCCCCCUGUGCCCUGCCACACCCAGAGGUGGCACAGGAAGGACAGAAGUGCUGGCCUGGCAGAGCCAUGGGCACUGCUGCAGCCACGGCUCCACCAAGCAAAGCAACACAGUGCAGUCCCAAACCUUGUCCAGGGAAAGGCACUUCAGGAACCCACGCUGGGCCCUUUGUAAAUCUGGCUCUGCUGGGCAGGGCACGAGAUUCUGAGCUGGCAGAUCAGCCAUGGCCAGAGCCAGGCACUUGGGGAAGGAGCAGAUUUGAUUUCAAGUGACACAAAAAGCCACUAACACUCCCAAGUUACAUCCUCUGCUCCAGACACGUGGUUGGUAUAAAAAAGCAGCACCUCGAAUUAGGGGCUUUUGGGCUAAAACCCUCUAAUAUUGUUAGGAUGUUUGCAUGCUCUGGCCUGCAUGGCUGAGAGAAUCCUCAGGCAACAGAACUGCACCUGGAGACCACAGGUGCUCCUGAGUUAAGGGCCCAGCUAAGGGAAAACAAGAAGCUCAAAGCACUGCCCAAGUGGCUCUGGAUGAUUUUGUCAGCUGUGGCUGUUAGUUACCAAGCCUUUGUUAGCUCUUAUCCCAGCCAGCAGAAGGAAAUGUCACAAAAUAGCACCUCAGCUGCACAGGACAGGACACUGUGCACCAGAACAAACACAUUUCCUCCUGCUGGGCUCACUGUGGGGCAGGCAGUGAUGCAGUUUGGUGAGUACCCCACAUACCUACACUAGAUGAGAGAUGGUAGAUCUGGGUGAAAAAUGCAAAGCACCUUCCAUACAGAACCUGUGGCAGGGCAGUGUCCAGAACCUGCCUCUGAAAUCAGGUGUGGAAGAACAGUCUCAGCAAAGGCAGUAGUGUUUGACUAUUUUUUUUUUUCACAGUCACCAGUAGAACACUGCUAACUUACAACUUGUCUGCAGGGCUCCUUGUGUGAGACACAGCUGUACAGACUGAAUGCUGCAGUUUAUAAAUCAGGACAAACCCACCCCUCUCCUUUCUUCCCUUACCCCAAGAGAUCCAUCAGUGAGACAAGGAGAAAGAAAGGAGGCUGUCAGCAUCAGAGUCUCUCACAGCAAAAAUUCAAUUGCUGCAGGUUUGCUUUUGAAGCUCUGAGAUUUUUGUUCUUAGAA